CAUAAUGUCAUUUAUUUGAUGUUGUGGGGAAUUAGGACUGUUACCUUGAAAAAAUUAGAGUGUUUAAAGCAGGCUAACGCUUGAAUACAUUAGCAUGGAAUAAUGAAAUAGGACACCGCAUUCUAUUUUGUUGGUUUCUAGGAUCGAUGUAAUGAUUAAUAGGGAUAGUUGGGGGCAUUAGUAUUCAAUUGUCAGAGGUGAAAUUCUUGGAUUUAUUGAAGACUAACUACUGCGAAAGCAUUUGCCAAGGAUGUUUUCAUUAAUCAAGAACGAAAGUUAGGGGAUCUAAGACGAUCAGAUACCGUCGUAGUCUUAACCAUAAACUAUGCCGACUAGGGAUCGGAUGAUGUUGAUUUUUUAAUGACUCAUUCGGCACCUUACGGGAAACCAAAGUGUUUGGGUUCCGGGGGGAGUAUGGUCGCAAGGCUGAAACUUAAAGGAAUUGACGGAAGGGCACCACCAGGGGUGGAGCCUGCG
RNAcentral lists this ribosomal RNA (477 nucleotides) under uncultured Glomeromycotina. Its description in RNAcentral is "SSU rRNA". It matches the Rfam family "Eukaryotic small subunit ribosomal RNA", at positions 712 to 1187 of the family's 1831-position model. Lineage: Eukaryota; Fungi; Glomeromycota. The record is from RNAcentral.